CCCUGACAGGUGCAUCCCGCAUCUGACACUAGCCACGACAGGAGAUCCAUAUG
This 53-nucleotide non-coding RNA is filed under the name unclassified sequences. The record is from Rfam.